GAUGAACGCUGGCGGCGUGCCUAAUACAUGCCAGUCGAGCGAACAGAUGAGGAGCUUGCUCCUCUGACGUUAGCGGCGGACGGGUGAGUAACACGUGGAUAACCUACCUAUAAGACUGGGAUAACUUCGGGAAACCGGAGCUAAUACCGGAUAAUAUAUUGAACCGCAUGGUUCAAUAGUGAAAGACGGUUUUGCUGUCACUUAUAGAUGGAUCCGCGCCGCAUUAGCUAGUUGGUAAGGUAACGGCUUACCGAGGCAACGAUGCGUAGCCGACCUGAGAGGGUGAUCGGCCACACUGGAACUGAGACACGGUCCAGACUCCUACGGGAGGCAGCAGUAGGGAAUCUUCCGCAAUGGGCGAAAGCCUGACGGAGCAACGCCGCGUGAGUGAUGAAGGUCUUCGGAUCGUAAAACUCUGUUAUUAGGGAAGAACAAAUGUGUAAGUAACUAUGCACGUCUUGACGGUACCUAAUCAGAAAGCCACGGCUAACUACGUG
This 497-nucleotide ribosomal RNA is filed under the name uncultured bacterium. RNAcentral describes it as "partial 16S ribosomal RNA". It matches the Rfam family "Bacterial small subunit ribosomal RNA", at positions 28 to 507 of the family's 1533-position model. The record is from RNAcentral.